AUAAAUGUUUGAACUCAACUGAUGACCCGAUGCGCACGCUUUGCCGUCGACGCACGCAUCCUAUAUUAACGUUGCUACCAGGCGACCCGCUAUCAUUGUCGAUACAACUGUCGUACUGGAAGGACGUGGCCAAGUGAUAUUCAGUGAAAAUGUAUACCAAUCCUUUCGAGCGAAAACACUCGGUUUUGAGGCAAGCACUCGACCGCUUCAUCAAGGGAGAGACGAGAUUGAGUUUUAGGAAGAAAAGUGAUUUCUCAAAGAGCAGCAAAUCGUCGGGAAGCUCUUCUUCAUUCGCUUCUUCCACAACGGAAUGUAAACAGAAAUUGAGCUCCAAGAGGUGAAGAGAACAGUUUCACUAAAGGAACCAGUGAUAACGCUUCGAAAUGGCCCAGUUCCAAGGAGGUCAAUUGCAGUAUUUGGUUCACAGUGGGAUGAAAUCGCUUUAUGGAAGUCUUAAGCUAAUAAGGAAGAGCUAGGCCCACGAUUUUGAUGACUAUUAUUGUAACUAGGAUAGUACAUUACAUAUUGAUAUAAGAAUAUCUUCUUCAUAUUGAAGUGCUUUUAAUGAAUCAUUAAGUCCUCAAAGAUCAUCUUGAUACACUAUUAGAAACGAUAUUAUGGUUAGACUAAGCCAGUGUGAAUAUUUAAGUGCACGAAAAAGCAAACAAAUAAAAGUUAUAUUCACUACUUAUGAUUCGAAUAUAUGUAGAUAAUUUGUACUAUCAAAUAUGCUAAUAAACAAUAUAUAAUUAAUCUUCAAA
This is a long non-coding RNA of Bombyx mandarina (wild silkworm), 761 nucleotides long. RefSeq lists it as uncharacterized. The record is from RefSeq and is a predicted model, not a curated record. Lineage: Eukaryota; Metazoa; Arthropoda; Insecta; Lepidoptera; Bombycidae.